Molecule: ribosomal RNA, 269 nt
Filed under: uncultured archaeon
Lineage: Archaea
Description: partial 16S ribosomal RNA
Rfam family: Archaeal small subunit ribosomal RNA
Source: RNAcentral
ACACGACUACAUUAGAUACCCGCGUAGUCCCAGCCCUAAACGAUGCGCGUUAGGUGUAUCGGUGACCACGAGUCACCGAGGUGCCGAAGGGAAACCGUGAAACGUGCCGCCUGGGAAGUACGGUCGCAAGGCUAGAAAACUUAAAGGAAUUGGGCGGGGGAGCACAACAACGGGUGGAGCUUGUCGGUUUAAUUGGAUUCAACGCCGGAAAUCUUACCGGGACCGACAGCAACAUGAAGGCCAAGCUGAAGACUUUGCCGGAUUAGCUG